GCUAAAGUAACAUGUUUUAAUCUCCACUCACUAUAAUGUUAUAAUAACCAAGUAGAUGACAAUAAAGAGAAUGACAACAGCCAAUUAGGGUUUCACAUGCUCUCUAAUGAAGUGCUCGAUCUGCGAAACCUCACCGGUUAAACCGGAAGCCUCAGCUACUGUUACCUUGUUGUGGCACUGAGAGAACACAAACGCCUCACCAGACACCCCGAGUGUAUACUCAUUCGUAACAUCAGCGCUGGACAUCGCAGUCCUUGAUGCUCGGAGCUUAUCUAAUUCCU
This 281-nucleotide unclassified non-coding RNA is filed under the name Hevea brasiliensis (rubber tree). The record is from RNAcentral. Lineage: Eukaryota; Viridiplantae; Streptophyta; Magnoliopsida; Malpighiales; Euphorbiaceae.